Molecule: transfer RNA, 76 nt
Filed under: Verrucomicrobiota bacterium
Lineage: Bacteria; Pseudomonadati; Verrucomicrobiota
Description: Verrucomicrobia bacterium (marine sediment metagenome) tRNA-Pro
Rfam family: tRNA
About the family: Transfer RNA (tRNA) molecules are approximately 80 nucleotides in length. Their secondary structure includes four short double-helical elements and three loops (D, anti-codon, and T loops). Further hydrogen bonds mediate the characteristic L-shaped molecular structure. tRNAs have two regions of fundamental functional importance: the anti-codon, which is responsible for specific mRNA codon recognition, and the 3' end, to which the tRNAs corresponding amino acid is attached (by aminoacyl-tRNA synthetases). tRNAs cope with the degeneracy of the genetic code in two manners: having more than one tRNA (with a specific anti-codon) for a particular amino acid; and 'wobble' base-pairing, i.e. permitting non-standard base-pairing at the 3rd anti-codon position.
Source: RNAcentral
CGGAGCGUAGCUCAGUCUUUAGAGCGCGCGGCUUGGGCCCGCGAGGUCGCAGGUGAAAAUCCUGCCGUUCCGACCA